GGCCAGAUAGCUUAGUUGGUAGAGCGCAGAACUUCAAAACAAAUGAGAGCAAGUCCGAUCCUGGUUUUUGCUA
RNAcentral lists this transfer RNA (73 nucleotides) under Dreissena polymorpha. RNAcentral describes it as "tRNA-Sec". The record is from RNAcentral. Lineage: Eukaryota; Metazoa; Mollusca; Bivalvia; Myida; Dreissenidae.